RNAcentral lists this ribosomal RNA (393 nucleotides) under uncultured bacterium. RNAcentral describes it as "partial 16S ribosomal RNA". It matches the Rfam family "Bacterial small subunit ribosomal RNA", at positions 523 to 918 of the family's 1533-position model. The record is from RNAcentral.
AUACGGAGGAUCCGAGCGUUAUCCGGAUUUAUUGGGUUUAAAGGGAGCGUAGAUGGGUUGUUAAGUCAGUUGUGAAAGUUUGCGGCUCAACCGUAAAAUUGCAAUUGAUACUGGCAGCCUUGAGUACAGUUGAGGUAGGCGGAAUUCGUGGUGUAGCGGUGAAAUGCUUAGAUAUCACGAAGAACUCCGAUUGCGAAGGCAGCCUACUAAACUGCCACUGACAUUGAUGCUCGAAAGUGUGGGUAUCAAACAGGAUUAGAUACCCUGGUAGUCCACACGGUAAACGAUGAAUACUCGCUGUUUGCGAUAUACUGCAAGCGGCCAAGCGAAAGCGUUAAGUGAUCCACCUGGGGAGUACGCCGGCAACGGUGAAACUUAAAGGAAUUGACGGGG